RNAcentral lists this ribosomal RNA (479 nucleotides) under uncultured bacterium. RNAcentral's name for it is "bacterial SSU rRNA". It matches the Rfam family "Bacterial small subunit ribosomal RNA", at positions 44 to 511 of the family's 1533-position model. The record is from RNAcentral.
CAGCCUAACACAUGCAAGUCGAACGGCAGCACAGGAGAGCUUGCUCUCUGGGUGGCGAGUGGCGGACGGGUGAGGAAUACAUCGGAAUCUACUCUGUCGUGGGGGAUAACGUAGGGAAACUUACGCUAAUACCGCAUACGACCUACGGGUGAAAGCAGGGGGACCUUCGGGCCUUGCGCGAUUGAAUGAGCCGAUGUCGGAUUAGCUAGUUGGCGGGGUAAAGGCCCACCAAGGCGACGAUCCGUAGCUGGUCUGAGAGGAUGAUCAGCCACACUGGAACUGAGACACGGUCCAGACUCCUACGGGAGGCAGCAGUGGGGAAUAUUGGACAAUGGGCGCAAGCCUGAUCCAGCCAUACCGCGUGGGUGAAGAAGGCCUUCGGGUUGUAAAGCCCUUUUGUUGGGAAAGAAAUCCAGCUGGCUAAUACCCGGUUGGGAUGACGGUACCCAAAGAAUAAGCACCGGCUAACUUCGUGCCAG